UGGGGAAUAUUGCACAAUGGGCGCAAGCCUGAUGCAGCCAUGCCGCGUGUAUGAAGAAGGCCUUCGGGUUGUAAAGUACUUUCGGCGGGGAGGAAGGGAGUAAAGUUAAUACCUUUGCUCAUUGACGUUACCCGCAGAAGAAGCACCGGCUAACUCCGUGCCAGCAGCCGCGGUAAUACGGAGGGUGCAAGCGUUAAUCGGAAUUACUGGGCGUAAAGCGCACGCAGGCGGUUUGUUAAGUCAGAUGUGAAAUCCCCGGGCUCAACCUGGGAACUGCUUCUGAUACUGGCCAGCUUGAGUCUCGUAGAGGGGGGUAGAAUUCCAGGUGUAGCGGUGAAAUGCGUAGAGAUCUGGAGGAAUACCGGUGGCGAAGGCGGCCCCCUGGACGAAGACUGACGCUCAGGUGCGAACGCGUGGGGAGCAAACAGG
This 429-nucleotide ribosomal RNA is filed under the name Chloroflexota bacterium. RNAcentral describes it as "Chloroflexi bacterium partial 16S ribosomal RNA". It matches the Rfam family "Bacterial small subunit ribosomal RNA", at positions 355 to 776 of the family's 1533-position model. Lineage: Bacteria; Bacillati; Chloroflexota. The record is from RNAcentral.